GCCGGUGUGGCCCAGUGGGUAGAGCGCCGGCCUGCGGACUGCAGGGUCCCGGGUUCGAAUCCCGGGCAAGGGCA
Myotis brandtii (Brandt's bat) is the source of this 74-nucleotide non-coding RNA. The record is from Rfam. Lineage: Eukaryota; Metazoa; Chordata; Mammalia; Chiroptera; Vespertilionidae.